RNAcentral lists this ribosomal RNA (800 nucleotides) under uncultured bacterium. RNAcentral's name for it is "bacterial SSU rRNA". It matches the Rfam family "Bacterial small subunit ribosomal RNA", at positions 30 to 826 of the family's 1533-position model. The record is from RNAcentral.
CACACGCUGGCGGCGUGCUUUACACAUGCAAGUCGAACGGCAGAGGGGGGCUUUGGCCUGGCGGCGAGUGGCAAACGGGUGAGUAAUGCAUCGGAACGUGCCCUGUGCGGGGGGAUAGCCCGGCGAAAGCCGGAUUAAUACCGCAUACGACCUGAGGGUGAAAGCGGGGGACCGAAAGGCCUCGCGCUAUUGGAGCGGCCGAUGUCGGAUUAGCUGGUUGGUGGGGUAAAGGCUUACCACUGCGACCAUCCGUAGCUGGUCUGAGAGGACGACCAACCUCACUGGGACUGAGACACGGCCCAGACUCCUACGGGAGGCAACUUUGGGGAAUUUUGGACACUGGGGGCCACCCUGAUCCAGCCAUGCAGGAUGCGGGAAGAAAGCCUUCGGGUUGUAAACCGCUUUUGUUCGGGAAGAAAUCCUCUGGGAUAAUACCCCUGGGGGAUGACCGUACCGGAAGAAUAAGCACCGGCUAACUACGUGCCAGCAGCCUCUGGAAUACGUAGGGUGCGAGCGUUAAUCGAAAUUACUGGGCGUAAAGCGUGCGCCUGCGGUUGUGCAAGACAGAUGUGAAAUCCCCGGUCUUAACCUGGGAACUGCAUUUGUGACUGCACUGCUACAGUGCGGCGCAGGGGAGUGGAAUUCCGAGUGUAGCAGUGAAAUGCGUAGAUAUGCAUAUGAACACGCGAUGGCAAGGAAGCUCCCUGGCACUGCACUGUCGCUAAUGCGCUAGAGCGAGGGCAGAAAAAGGAUUAUAUACCCUGGUAGUACACGCUCUAGCGAUGUCGACUGUAUGUUGG